AGGCCUCUCUACCCUCAAGGGUACCGGCCUUAAAAUGGAUUCCUAUGGAGUCCUAGUAGUAACUGGCCACCAGCCUGGUGUAACCCCAUUUACUAUAACCCCUUGAGCCUGACCAGUUGUUCAUCCAUUAGCUCAUGUAGCUCAUCAGCUACAUUGGCUCAUGUAGCUCAUCAGCUCAUCUAGCUGUUUGCUGGACAUUUUGCCCAGAAGCGUACUGUGAUAAAAAGUGUCCAGAGUUUUGCUAAAACCCAGAAAGAUUGCAACAACUGAUUUCCCUUAGUCCAGUAAGUGGAUAACCUUGUCAUAAAAGGAAAAAUUUAGUUAAACAGUACUUUCCCCUCAUAAAGCCGUGUUGGCUAUGACCAGUGACUACACUGCCUUUCAAGUGUUUUUUAGUACCCCACAGAAAUAGUCUUCUCUUUAAUUUUAUCAGGCACUGAAGUGUGACUGAUUGGCCUGUUACUUCUAGGGUCUUCUUUCUUCCCCUCCUUGAAAACUGGGAUGUUUGACAGCUUCCAGUCAGCAGGAAACUCUUCAGUUUCCCAGUACCAUUGAAAAAUAAUUGAGAGAGGUCUUGUGAUGACAUGAGCCAGUUCCUUCAGCACCUUGGGAUGAAUCCCAUUGGGGCCCAUAGACUUAUUACAUCUUACACUUACCCUGUCAUUUGCCAGUAGAGGACAAAAAGUGCUUUUUUUUUUUUUUUUUUCCAGGUUAUAAGUAUCAUUCAGACACCAGUCUUCUGAGAUGGGAAAGACCAGUGAUGAAAAGACCAGUGAUGUUUCUCCAGUCCUUUCUGAAGAUAUUAACUCAGUUCCUGUCUUGCAAGAGUUUGGGCAUCACAGAGCACAAUAGGUGAAGGCAUGAAGAUCAACACUGAGAAAACAUGCACGUGCACAUAGGAUAAUGUCAGUGUCCCAGUUGUGCACUUGCAUGGCUAGGUAAAACAGAGCAAAACAAAACAAGAAAACAACCCUAAGGUAAAGUUCUCAUUAAGCAUUGUUUGGGCUGUCUAGAAGCAGGAGAUCUUCUCUACCACCUACUGGAAUUUGUUGGAUGAUUUGGUGUUGUUAUAGGAAGUAUUUGUCAGUUACUUUUUUUUGAGACAAUAAACACUGUUAGAGGCUGAAUAAAUUCUGUAGC
RNAcentral lists this long non-coding RNA (1140 nucleotides) under Numida meleagris (helmeted guineafowl). RNAcentral describes it as "lncRNA (ENSNMEG00000017306.1)". The record is from RNAcentral. Lineage: Eukaryota; Metazoa; Chordata; Aves; Galliformes; Numididae.